AACUGUUUGCAGAGGAAACUGAGA
Molecule: non-coding RNA, 24 nt
Filed under: Echinops telfairi (small Madagascar hedgehog)
Lineage: Eukaryota; Metazoa; Chordata; Mammalia; Afrosoricida; Tenrecidae
Also listed under: 12 other names
Source: RNAcentral